AUUGAACGCUGGCGGCAGGCCUAACACAUGCAAGUCGAGCGGAGGAAGGGAGCUUGCUCCUGGAUUCAGCGGCGGACGGGUGAGUAAUUCCUAGGAAUCUGCCUGGUAGUGGGGGAUAACGUCCGGAAACGGGCGCUAAUACCGCAUACGUCCUGAGGGAGAAAGUGGGGGAUCUUCGUACCUCACGCUAUCAGAUGAGCCUAGGUCGGAUUAGCUAGUUGGUGGGGUAAAGGCCUACCAAGGCGACGAUCCGUAACUGGUUUGAGAGGAUGAUCAGUCAAACUGGAACUGAGCCACGGUCCAGAUUCCUACGGGAGGCAGCAGUGGGGAAUAUUGGACAAUGGGCGAAAGCCUGCUCCAGACAUGCCGGGGGUGUGAAGAAGGUCUUCGGAUUGUAAAGCAUUUUGAGUGGGGAGGAAGGGCAGGAAGUUAAUAACUUGAUGUUUUGACGUUAACAACAGAGUAAGCAACGGCUAACUUCGUG
Molecule: ribosomal RNA, 484 nt
Filed under: uncultured bacterium
Lineage: Bacteria
Description: partial 16S ribosomal RNA
Rfam family: Bacterial small subunit ribosomal RNA
Source: RNAcentral